AACGCACAUUGCGCCCCCUGGUAUUCCGGGGGGCAUGCCUGUCCGAGCGUCAUUACAACCCUCAAGCUCAGCUUGGUGUUGGGCCCCGCCGCCCCGGCGGGCCCUAAAGUCAGUGGCGGUGCCGUCCGGCUCCGAGCGUAGUAAUUCUUCUCGCUCUGGAGGUCCGGUCGUGUGCUUGCCAUCAACCCCCAAUUUUUUUCAGGUUGACCUCGGAUCAGGUAGGGAUACCCGCUGAACUUAA
Molecule: unclassified non-coding RNA, 241 nt
Filed under: uncultured Pseudeurotiaceae
Lineage: Eukaryota; Fungi; Ascomycota; Leotiomycetes; Thelebolales; Pseudeurotiaceae
Description: sequence contains ITS2
Rfam family: 5.8S ribosomal RNA (bases 1-52)
Source: RNAcentral